Molecule: ribosomal RNA, 881 nt
Filed under: Foraminifera sp.
Lineage: Eukaryota; Foraminifera
Description: SSU rRNA
Source: RNAcentral
AAGGGCACCACAAGAACGCGUGGAGCAUGUGGCUUAAUUUGACUCAACGCGGGAAAACUUACCGGGUCCGGACACACUGAGGAUUGACAGGCGAUUUAGUAAAUAUGCUAGUCCUUUCAUGAUUGUGUGAUAGGUGGUGCAUGGCCGUUCUUAGUUCGUGGAGUGAUCUGUCUGCUUAAUUGCGUUUCAGAUAAAAAGGACUUUAAGAGUGUAGGUCACUGUCUGUAACAGGACGUGGCUCAAACUCAAGAUCCUUUGAAAGCAAUGAACGUGACCGCAACCCUUUGUUACACACACAUACACAAGUGUGCMAACUAAGGGGACCGCCAGGGUUGUAAAACCGGAGGAAGGUUGCGGCAAUAACAGGUCUGUGAUGCCCUUAGAUGUUCCGGGCUGCACACGUGCUACAAUGAUUGUUGCAGCAAGUAUCUAUACUAUUGAUUGUUUCUGAAGACCUUCACGGGUUCGGAUGAGACCACGUAUUGACACAAUCGACAUUCAUUUGUCGUCUUUGUGGCUGACGUGAAACCUACCUCGAAAGUACGGUAGGCAAUCAAUUCCAAGUGACAAUCUCCCGCGCACAAAUCAAAUGCCGUCACGUCAUGGUGUUUACACUGUGUAUGUGUCUGACAUGUGCUCUAUUAAUUCGUGGUCGGGACAGACCAUUGCUAAUUGUUGGUCUCGGUUUCAACUAGGAAUGCCUUGUACGGGUCUUUGGUUCAACAAACCACCCGGAAUACGUCCCUGCCCUUUGUACACACCGCCCGUCGCUCUUACCGAUGGACUAUACUGUGAGUUUGAGGGACUGGUCUCCCGUACGCAAGUGCGGUGAUACUAUGGAAACUCCAACGAACAGUGUGGUCUAAAGGAAAGAGAAGUCG